Long non-coding RNA from Zalophus californianus (California sea lion), 1200 nucleotides. RefSeq lists it as uncharacterized. Lineage: Eukaryota; Metazoa; Chordata; Mammalia; Carnivora; Otariidae. The transcript has 3 exons. The record is from RefSeq and is a predicted model, not a curated record.
CUUGGGCUGUGGGCACGUGACGCGGGGCGCAAUGGCCCGGGGCGUUGGAGGUGCGUGGGGGAGGGAGGCGCAAGGUCGUUUGCGCAAGGACUACCUCCGCGCGUCGUGGGGAGUGGGGUUUGGGCACGUGGAGUGAUUGCUGACUUGUGGACGCUGGAGGCGUGUUGCUCCACGAUCUGUCCCUGGGAAAGGUGCGGCGUCCCUGCGUAAGAGCGCUGAGCACGAGAGCUGGUGCUCUCCAAAGCAGAAAGGUUCCGAGGCCCAGGGAAUGGGGAAUGCAGAGAGCUCAAAGACUAGAAACAGAAAGUAUGAGUUCCACAAGGGAGGAAUCCUACCUGUUUUGUUCUCUGGGAUCUAGGAUAGUGCCUGGCACACAACGUGGACUCAGUGAGUAUUUGCUAAAUGAAUGACGACACCAAAAUAACUGCUAUGCUGGUAAAUUACUAAUCAAAAUCGAAGGUUAAAAGACUAGUAAAAUCUGUUGGUCAGCUGACCACGUAGCUGUAGCAGUCAUGGACGGCAAGGAAUGAGAGGCUGUACGACAAACAGCUGGGGGUGGUGUCCAAGAAUCUUCUUCAUUAUUUUUAACUAGCAACCCAGGCAAAUGGGCAUAACCAUCUGCAAACUGGCCUGGGGAACCACCAGCGGAUGAACAGAUGAUCUACUAGAGUGCCUUCCAGAUUCAAAAUUCUGACUCACUGACAUCUUUUUCAAUCACAUUUAAACCAGAAAUCAAGGCUAGGUGUGGUUCUUCAAAAGCAUUAAUAUUUUAACAAAGUAGGUGUAUAAAAGUGGAAACUUAGGAGCAAAUGGAGCUUUCAGUUCACAAAUGUUUCCAUGUCCACACUGUUUAAAAUCUGCACUCCUUCUCUGACAUUGGAAAGUUGACUUUACCAAGAUAAUUUAAUCUUCUCAUGUUAACAGAACCUAAAAAAAGCCCCAUUAGAGUCACAUAGUUAGAAAACCAGCAUUUGAAGUAAAUAUAAAAGAUCUCUAGAGUAAAAGAAGUACAAAAAUCUGUACAGUAUUAAAAGAAAUGCUCUAAAAUCGAAGGUUGGCAGAAGAGCAUGGAACUGGAAAUUUUAGGGGAAAAAGCUGCCACUUAUAUUAUCUUCAAGUAUCUAAAUAUAUUCUUAUAUAGCUCACAUCUGAAAAAAAGAAUUUACAUACCACUCUGAAAAUUCUGACAUUUUAUUUUGU